Molecule: ribosomal RNA, 479 nt
Filed under: uncultured soil bacterium
Lineage: Bacteria
Description: bacterial SSU rRNA
Rfam family: Bacterial small subunit ribosomal RNA
Source: RNAcentral
AGAUUGAACGCUGGCGGCAGGCCUAACACAUGCAAGUCGAGCGGAUGAAGAGAGCUUGCCCUCUGAUUCAGCGGCGGACGGGUGAGUAAUGCCUAGGAAUCUGCCUGGUAGUGGGGGACAACGUUUCGAAAGGAACGCUAAUACCGCAUACGUCCUACGGGAGAAAGCAGGGGACCUUCGGGCCUUGCGCUAUCAGAUGAGCCUAGGUCGGAUUAGCUAGUUGGUGAGGUAAUGGCUCACCAAGGCGACGAUCCGUAACUGGUCUGAGAGGAUGAUCAGUCACACUGGAACUGAGACACGGUCCAGACUCCUACGGGAGGCAGCAGUGGGGAAUAUUGGACAAUGGGCGAAAGCCUGAUCCAGCCAUGCCGCGUGUGUGAAGAAGGUCUUCGGAUUGUAAAGCAACGUUAAGUUGGGAGAAGGCAUUAACCUAAUACGUUAGUGUUUCGACGUUACCGACAGAAUAAGCACGGCUAACU